Molecule: ribosomal RNA, 447 nt
Filed under: uncultured bacterium
Lineage: Bacteria
Description: bacterial SSU rRNA
Rfam family: Bacterial small subunit ribosomal RNA
Source: RNAcentral
UGGGGAAUAUUGGACAAUGGGCGAAAGCCUGAUCCAGCAAUGCCGCGUGAGUGAUGAAGGCCUUAGGGUUGUAAAGCUCUUUUACCAGGGAUGAUAAUGACAGUACCUGGAGAAUAAGCUCCGGCUAACUCCGUGCCAGCAGCCGCGGUAAUACGGAGGGAGCUAGCGUUGUUCGGAAUUACUGGGCGUAAAGCGUACGUAGGCGGUUAUUCAAGUCAGAGGUGAAAGCCUGGAGCUCAACUCCAGAACUGCCUUUGAAACUAGAUAGCUAGAAUCACGGAGAGGUGAGUGGAAUUCCGAGUGUAGAGGUGAAAUUCGUAGAUAUUCGGAAGAACACCAGUGGCGAAGGCGGCUCACUGGACGUGUAUUGACGCUGAGGUACGAAAGCGUGGGGAGCAAACAGGAUUAGAUACCCCUGUAGUCCCUGAGCGGGCUGGCAAGGCGCAU